GACGAACGCUGGCGGCGUGCCUAAUACAUGCAAGUCGAACGAGAGCGACCGGUGCUUGCACUGGUCAAUCUAGUGGCGAACGGGUGAGUAACACGUGGGUAACCUGCCCAUCAGAGGGGGAUAACAUUCGGAAACGGAUGCUAAAACCGCAUAGGUUCUACAGUCGCAUGACUGAAGAAGGAAAAGAGGCUUCGGCUUCUGCUGAUGGAUGGACCCGCGGUGCAUUAGCUAGUUGGUGAGGUAACGGCUCACCAAGGCUGUGAUGCAUAGCCGACCUGAGAGGGUGAUCGGCCACAUUGGGACUGAGACACGGCCCAAACUCCUACGGGAGGCAGCAGUAGGGAAUCUUCCGCAAUGGACGCAAGUCUGACGGAGCAACGCCGCGUGAGUGAAGAAGGAUUUCGGUUCGUAAAACUCUGUUGUUAGAGAAGAACAGCGCAUAGAGUAACUGUUAUGCGUGUGACGGUAUCUAACCAGAAAGCCACGGCUAACUACGUGCCAGCCGCCGCCGUAACAC
This 517-nucleotide ribosomal RNA is filed under the name uncultured bacterium. RNAcentral describes it as "bacterial SSU rRNA". It matches the Rfam family "Bacterial small subunit ribosomal RNA", at positions 28 to 526 of the family's 1533-position model. The record is from RNAcentral.